This 72-nucleotide transfer RNA is filed under the name Ovis aries (sheep). It matches the Rfam family "tRNA". Rfam says of the family: Transfer RNA (tRNA) molecules are approximately 80 nucleotides in length. Their secondary structure includes four short double-helical elements and three loops (D, anti-codon, and T loops). Lineage: Eukaryota; Metazoa; Chordata; Mammalia; Artiodactyla; Bovidae. The record is from Rfam by way of RNAcentral.
UUCCUGAUGGCUUAGAUGGUAAAGAAUUUGCCUGCAAUGUAGGAGACCCAGGUUCGAUCCCUGGGUGGGGAA